Molecule: transfer RNA, 60 nt
Filed under: Cucumis melo (muskmelon)
Lineage: Eukaryota; Viridiplantae; Streptophyta; Magnoliopsida; Cucurbitales; Cucurbitaceae
Also listed under: 1 other name
Rfam family: tRNA
About the family: Transfer RNA (tRNA) molecules are approximately 80 nucleotides in length. Their secondary structure includes four short double-helical elements and three loops (D, anti-codon, and T loops).
Source: Rfam by way of RNAcentral
AUAGCUUAGCUGGGAGAGCAUCAAAUUGAAGAUUCGAAGGUUGCAUGUUUGAUCCAUGCU